This 500-nucleotide ribosomal RNA is filed under the name uncultured bacterium. RNAcentral's name for it is "partial 16S ribosomal RNA". It matches the Rfam family "Bacterial small subunit ribosomal RNA", at positions 30 to 523 of the family's 1533-position model. The record is from RNAcentral.
AUUGAACGCUGGCGGCAGGCCUAACACAUGCAAGUCGAGCGGAUGACGGGAGCUUGCUCCUUGAUUCAGCGGCGGACGGGUGAGUAAUGCCUAGGAAUCUGCCUGGUAGUGGGGGACAACGUUUCGAAAGGAACGCUAAUACCGCAUACGUCCUACGGGAGAAAGCAGGGGACCUUCGGGCCUUGCGCUAUCGGAUGAGCCUAGGUCGGAUUAGCUAGUUGGUGGGGUAAUGGCCCACCAAGGCGACGAUCCGUAACUGGUCUGAGAGGAUGAUCAGUCACACUGGAACUGAGACACGGUCCAGACUCCUACGGGAGGCAGCAGUGGGGAAUAUUGGACAAUGGGCGAAAGCCUGAUCCAGCCAUGCCGCGUGUGUGAAGAAGGUCUUCGGAUUGUAAAGCACUUUAAGUUGGGAGGAAGGGCAGUAAGCUAAUAUCUUGCUGUUUUGACGUUACCGACAGAAUAAGCACCGGCUAACUCUGUGCCAGCCGCCGCAGUAA